This is a long non-coding RNA of Lutra lutra (Eurasian river otter), 182 nucleotides long. RefSeq lists it as uncharacterized. The transcript has 2 exons. The record is from RefSeq and is a predicted model, not a curated record. NCBI's taxonomy places the organism in Eukaryota, Metazoa, Chordata, Mammalia, Carnivora, Mustelidae.
AUUAUGGGGCACCUGGGUGGCUCAGUGGGUUAAGCGACUGCCUUCGGCUCAGGUCAUGAGCCCACGGUUCUAGGAUGGAGUCUUGCAUGGGGCUUCUUGCUUAGUAGGGAGCCUGCUUCUCUCUCUGCCAGCCACUCCCCCUGCUUGUGCUUGCUCUCUCUUUCUGACAAAUAAAUAAAUAA